RNAcentral lists this long non-coding RNA (5717 nucleotides) under Sus scrofa (pig). RNAcentral's name for it is "lncRNA (ENSSSCG00025033643.1)". The record is from RNAcentral. Lineage: Eukaryota; Metazoa; Chordata; Mammalia; Artiodactyla; Suidae.
UUUUUUUUUUUUUAAUAUUUUCCAGUGGCUACUCAUCCCACUGCCAUGAUUUAAUUCUGUACCAUUUUCCUACAUGUAUGUAAGGAAAAAGACUGGUGAGAUCAAAUUUCUUAACUGUAUCUAUACAUUGUAACUUGAAUAAGUAAAUUGCCAAAAUUCAUUUGUCUUUGUGAAAAAAGCAAGCAAUCCUAAUAUGCAGAUUUUCAUCAAAGCUUCUCUGACUGAAGACAGAGAAUCUUUUCAUAUGUAAUUAUAAGAUCUCCACAUUGGAAAGAUAUCAAUAGUCCAAUGCUUACUGAGUUUUUGAGUCUUCUUUCUCUUUGCCAAAACUCAUGAACAGUUUUAGGUCAGGUAGGAAAGUGAUAAUUAAACAUCUCUAUGGCAUCAUUACCCAAGCAUGCGGAAACAUUCUAGGUUCACUGAGUGGAAGAAUACCUUUUAGUGAUUCAAAAGCACCAGGCCAGAUGCAAUUACAUAUUCUGAAUGUUUUCCAGCAGGUAAUUUUUUUGGUGCUAGUUGGAGUAAUUACUAUGUAAGGUGAAGAGCUGCUCUCUUACUCAGUAGGGGAUGCCAAUAAAUUUCUGACUCACCAAUAAAACUUUACCAAAGGUUUUUAAAUUGUAUAAUUAUCAAAGAUUAAUUUUAAAAAUGUGUAUUAGUCUUCAGCAAACUUUUGCUUUUAUCUAAACAUGGUUUUAUGUCUAGGAAAGAUCCCCUCUUUUCAAAAAUAAAUCUCUGAGAAGAAACACUAAAAGCUUGGAUAGAAGCUACAUUGUUGACCUCAAAUUGUAAAUUUCCACAAAGCAUCUCAUAAAAAUGAGGGAAAUAAACAGCAGAGUAUGUAAUUUAUCUUCCUAAAUUACUGUCCCUUUGGCAGAAGAAGGUUAAAAAGCAUUUUGACCUGAUUUUCUUUCACGUUCAUGGAUGCCUGCAUUACAGUAAAUAAAUAAAUAAAUAAAUAAAGUAUUUCUUAUAAAAAAUAUUUAACCAGACAAGGUAAAAUAUCAAGAAAUAUUUGAAAAAACUUAUUUGGAUGAAACCAUAUAAGGAAAAUCUUUACACAGACAUACAAGGGCAAAUACACCAAAUUUCAUUUCUAAAGACUGAGAUAAAUGAGACUAAUAUUUUAAUUUGCAUAGGAAGAGAGGCAUAAGGAAAGGAAAGUGAGUCCAAUAUGAAAGCAUCUCUUGAGAUGCUUCAACUGGAUUCCUGCCCCUUAUCCCUAGUAAAGAGAAAAAUACACAUUUAGGGCAGAUACCUUCUCAGAAAUGAUAAUCAUGUAGCAAUCUAGGUAGCAUGCUGGUUUCCAAUGAGCCUGCUCUUAAUAUAGAGGUAUCAGAACCCACUUCUGACACAUCUCUCUCCAGGAAAAAAGAAAGGGAGGUGUCGGUGAUAGUGAUUUUACAGUAUGGAGGGCUCUCAUAAGAGCUCAUAUUUUGUUUUUGUUUUUUGUUUGUUUGUUUGUUUGUUUUUGUCUUUUUUUUCCAUCUCUUGGGCCGCUCCCGCGGCAUAUGGAGGUUCCCAGGCUAGGGGUCGAAUCGGAGCUGUAGCCACAGGCCUACACCAGAGCCACAGCAACGCGGGAUCCGAGCCGCAUGUGCGACCUACACCACAGCUCACGGCAACGCCGGAUCGUUAACCCACUGAGCAAGGGCAGGGACCGAAUCCGCAACCUCAUGGUUCCUAGUCGGAUUCGUUAACCACUGCGCCACGACGGGAACUCCAAGGGCUCAUAUUUUGAAAGAAAAUAUUAAAGAGGUGUACAUAAGAAAGAACUAAUAGAAAAGAAUUCCAAUGCUUGAAAAUGAAUUAUUUGGUCCCAAACACUUUUUUUUAACGUCUCCUUCCCUUCCUUUCUUUUCUCCCUUCCUUCCUUCUGGGAAGAUAAAAUAUUAGAAAAUACGUCAAAAAACUUAACUAGUCCUCUUUUUGAUGAAAUAAUAUGCUCCACAAUCUAAAAGAUGUAAAUGAAUUUAAGCGGUUCUUGAAAAUCGAACUUUGUUCAUGAUUGUGUAUAAAAGGAUUCUUCAUGAAGAUUCAAUAUGGAUGAAUACUGAUUCAUUUGUAACUGCAACCUCCAAAUUACUUUGCUGAGCAAAUUUAAGUAACUGAGAUUAUCCUGCGAUCUUUCUGUUAGACGGAUAUAAUCAUCAAGUUCAUUAAUCUUUGCACUGUCAAUUUUUGGGAACUCUGGAGUUUCCACAAAGAUGUUUCUGGGCAUAGAAAUGAAGGUGACCUGAUUUCCCAAGUAACAUCAAACCAAGCAACUAAAUUUUGUUUCAUACAUAUAUGAAGCUUCCACACAAUAUUUUAUAUGGAGAUAUUAUCUAAAAGAAUUUGAAGAAUACUCAGUAAAACUCUUAUUUUAGAAAGUAAAAUCAGAAACUCAAGAGAAAUUACAUUCUCAAGGAUUUGGAAUUUGUUCCUUGUUAGACAAGACUCUAGAUAUUUUUAGGAAUUUGCAAACUUAUAAGAUACUUCUCAUUAUUUUCUUAAUGAAGCCAGGGUACACCAAAUUUUUCUUCACCUCCAGGACUAUUAACUAUUGAGUGAAAGAACCACAUGUAUUCUCACCUCUGCCAAUCAUUUUAUGAUUAUUUAUAAAUAAUUUCUGUGUGAAGAUAAACCAUCCAGAUGAAAAUGCCUUUAAAAAGGCCAAACAUUGCUGCAGUAAAAAUGAACUCAAGCAGUAGUUCUUGUCAUUAUUUUUCCUCCUCUAAUAUCUAAGGCAUAUAUUUAUGUUAAUAACCAGACAGUAGUUCAACAUCAUAGCCAGGUGCUAGAGAAAGAGCAGAGGGGGCCAAUUCUGAAGAAGGAUAAUGAAUUCUUUGAAAAUAAUUUGGUUUGGCUUUCAAAUUUUGACAGUUGCAUUUGUACACUGACAAUAAAUGGUACAGACUGUGACUAUACACACACUAAAACUGAUUUUAAGUGAUUAUGCUAAUAAUUUAAGCAAAUAACUCACUAUCUUAAUUAUUAGGAUAUUGCAAAUAUGUUUUUCUAAAAUUUGAAAUGCUUGUAUUAGUCCUUUAAUUUUUCAUUCUGGGCAAGAAUGCACAUAAAUUGAACCUCCUUUAGAUAAUAAAAUUCCCAGCCUAUCAGAGUUCUUUGGUGGUUCCCAACCCAUUUGCCAAAAUUCUCCCAACAUCAACGAUGUCUAUACUUAGGUCAGGAUGUUGCACUCACGGCAACCUUCCCUUGUGGAAAUGUUCUAGUUUGAACCGAAAUGUUGACUUCCUUGAAACGGGCCAUUUGUUGAGCAAAGGGUUCUAAGGUGCUGUUGACUGUCUCAAGCUUUUGACGGGCAAAAUUGUUUUUGAUGUUCUUUAGUGAAACCUAAAGCCUAGUUGGAAAGGCAUAAUUCAGAAAUACAUUAUUUUUUUUCACAGAGUUUUUCUUUCCCUUUACCCAUGGAGAUAAAACAUGUAUUCAUAAACAUGUGGAAAUUAAGGCAAUAAUUAUAGGCAGUCUGUUUGCAGAAAUACUUUCUCCAAGGUAUUUUUCUCUGAAUGUUUGGAUCUUUUGCGCAAGAAUGCACAUAAAUUGAACCUCCUUUAGAUAAUAAAAUUCCCAGCCUAUCAGAGUUCUUUGGUGGUUCCCAACCCAUUUGCCAAAAUUCUCCCAACAUCAACGAUAAAUAAUCAUAUUACUUUAGAAACUUCUGUUUAAUCAAAAGCUGGUGCUAAAGAUCAUUCCAUAUAAUAUAUUUUUACUUUUUUCUCUCUUCUAUUUAAAUUAUAUGUGGAGUUCCCAUUGUGGCUCAGAGAGUAACAAACCUAAGUAGUAUCCAUGACGAUGUGGGUGCAAUCCCUGGCCUCGCUCAGUGGGGUAAGGAUCUGGCAUUGCUGUGAUCUGUGGUGUAGGCUGAAGGUGCACCUUGGAUUUGGCAUUGCUGUGGCUGUGAUGUAGGAUCUAAGCCACAUCUGCGACCUACACCAUAGCACACGGCAACAUGGGAUCCUUAACCCACUGAGCAAGGCCAGGGAUCGAACCUGCAACCUCAUGGUUCCUAGUCGGAUUCAUUAACCACUGUGCCACGACGGGAACUCCCCUUUUUUUUAUUCUUAACAUUCAAAUUGAAAUACAAAAUAAGUGUGCCAAAUUCCACUGAAAUCAACAAAUGGAGAGUGAUCUUAUUUUCUAUAACAUCUCAUAUUUGUAUUAAAAUUUAAAUUCAUAUAUAUAAAUGUAAUAAUUCAUAGGUAUAUAAUGAAAUAUUAUUUACUAUUUCAUAAUUUCCAGAAGGUGUUUCUUCUUUGUUAAUGAUUGAUGAAACUGAAAGAGAGAAUCAUAAGUACUUGUUUUAUGUUCAUCUUUUCUUAAAUCAGGCUUAAAUCCCUAAAACUUUAUAUACUAUUUUAAAGUUACUCUGCUACAAAUGAACUAAAAAAUGUCAAAUUCAUUUUUAUCUAUUUUAAUGACAUUUUGCAAAAAUAAAACAGAAAACUUUGCUUUUCACUAUCAGUAAAGCGGGAACAAGGCAUAGCGUGUGAUUUUGGCAAUGACGUUGUUUGUGAUGACAAGUGCCAAGUUGCCUCAGGUAAUCCAAGUUUCAUAUAAGAAUAUAAAGAAAUUAAGAAGCAGAGUAAAUCCCCACCAAGGUUCCACAAUUAGUCUCCCUAUAAUGGUAACAUCCUCCAUCACUGAAAAACAACUCUAAUCCCCAAACAUCAAUUCUAGAAGUGGUCCUCAGAAGUGCUCAUCCUGAUAAAUUAACUUCCACAUAACUCAGUUCCUGUUUGGCUUACCUACACUUGAUUUCCUCAUAAUGUUGAUGGUAACUAUUUAUUUUCUAGUACGUUGUUUCCCAGCUGUGUUUAUUCAAGAUUUCCACUUGUUAACUGCUUUUAUAUAUUCUACAAACAGUUCAUCUUUAUUGGGAUAUAAUACAUAUGUAAUAAUAUUCACCCUUUGAAGCAUAAAAUUCAGUGGAUUAAUAUAUACAGAGUAGGUAUAGAAAGAAACUUUGCACCCGUUAGGACAGAUACACAGAAGUGGGAUUUCAGGAUCAAAUGAUAGUCCUAUUUUUAACUUUUUGAGGAACUUCCAUGCUGUUUUCAAUAAUAGCUGUACCAAUUUACAUUCCUCUCAACAAUGUGCAAAGGUUCCCUUUUUUCCAGGUCCUUGCCAAUACACCACCUUUUGUAUUUUUGAUAAUGCCAUUCUAACAUGUAAGUGAUUACCUCACUGUAGUUUUGAUGUUCAUUUCUCUGAGAUUAGUAAUGUUGAACAUUUCUCAUAUACCUGUUCGCCAUUUUUAUAUCUUCUAUUAAGGUCCUUUGCACAUUUUAAAAAUGAAGUUAUGUGUUUUCUUACUGUGGACUUGUUUGUGUUCCUUAUAUAUUUUAAAUAUUAGCCCUUUAUCAGAUGUAUGAUUUGUAAAUAUCUUCUCCUCUUCUAUGCACUGUCACUUUACUCUGUUGAUUGUUUCCUUUACUAUAAGGAAGAUCUGAAACUGUGAAACUAUUAAAAGAAAAGAUAGGGAAAGGCUUCUUGACAUUGGUCUAGGCAAUGAUAUUUUUUUUUGUAUGAUCUCAAAGGAAAAGGCUAGAGGAAGCCAAAUUAAAAAAAGAAAUAAAUAAAGAAAAAAAAAAGGUGAUUAGGAGUGGCCAUGAUGGCAGAGUAAGAGCCUGAGCUUACCUCCUCCCACAGGCACAAAAAAAUUACAACUAUUUACAAAACAACUAUUAAUGAUAAAUACCUAAAAACUAACAGGA